Molecule: microRNA precursor, 153 nt
Filed under: Fragaria vesca subsp. vesca
Lineage: Eukaryota; Viridiplantae; Streptophyta; Magnoliopsida; Rosales; Rosaceae
Description: Fragaria vesca miR11306 stem-loop (fve-MIR11306)
Source: miRBase by way of RNAcentral
UCAGAAUUCAGUUUUCCUAGUCUUCCUCGAAGUUCUUCGGUAGCAUUCAAAUAUAGAAUAAAAUGUAAGUUUAUUCUACCCUACUAAAUUUUCAGGCUACUUUUUGAAUGCUACCGAAGAACUUUGCAAAAGACUAGGAAAACUGAAAUCGGA